Molecule: ribosomal RNA, 503 nt
Filed under: uncultured bacterium
Lineage: Bacteria
Description: bacterial SSU rRNA
Rfam family: Bacterial small subunit ribosomal RNA
Source: RNAcentral
GACGAACGCUGGCGGCGUGGAUUAGGCAUGCAAGUCGGACGGUAGGGCUUUAUCGUAAGAUAGAGUUUGAGAGUGGCGAACUGGUGAGUAACACGUAGGUUAUCUACCCUCAAGACGGGGACAACCCAGGGAAACUUGGGCUAAUACCGGAUGUGAGCAACUUUUAGUUGUUUGAAAGGUGGCGUAAGCUGUCGCUUGGGGAUGAGCCUGCGUCCUAUUAGUUAGUUGGUGAGGUAACGGCUCACCUAGGCAAUGAUAGGUAGGCGGCCUUAACGGGUGGUCGCCCACACUGGGAUUGAGAUACGGCCCAGACUCCUACGGGAGGCAGCAGUCGAGAAUAGUCUACAAUGGUCGGAAGACUGAUAGUGCGACGCCGCGUGAACGAUGAAUCCCUUCGGGGUGUAAAGUUCUUUUAUAUGUGAGCAGUGCUUCUUAUAUUAACAGUAUGGGGAAGAGAUAUUAGCAUAUGAAUAAGCAACGGCUAACUCCGUGCCAGCAGCCGA